This 391-nucleotide long non-coding RNA is filed under the name Nicotiana tabacum (common tobacco). Its description in RNAcentral is "long non-coding RNA (NTAB_LNC006017)". The record is from RNAcentral. Lineage: Eukaryota; Viridiplantae; Streptophyta; Magnoliopsida; Solanales; Solanaceae.
GAUUUUUAUUGUUUCCUGUUGGAUAUUCCUGCUGUAACCUUCGGCCUUCCGGUGGGGUUACUGCUCUCAGAAUCUGAAAUAUUUAAACUAAAACAUAAAAAGUAUUCCUCUCGUUAUACAGGUGGGCGCCUAUUUAAGCUAAGACAUGAAAAAUUAUUCCUCUCGUUAUACAGGUGGGCGCCUAUUUAAACUAAGACUGAAAAUAUUCCUCUCAUUAUACAGGUGGGCGCCUAUUUAAACUAAGACUAAAAAUUAUUCCUCUCGUUAUACAGGUGGGCGCCUAUUUAAACUAAGACUGAAAAUUAUUCCUCUCGUUAUACAGGUGGGCGCCUAUUUAAACUAAGACUGAAAAUUAUUCCUCUCGUUAUACAGGUGGGCGCCUAUUUAAACU